This 468-nucleotide ribosomal RNA is filed under the name uncultured bacterium. Its description in RNAcentral is "partial 16S ribosomal RNA". It matches the Rfam family "Bacterial small subunit ribosomal RNA", at positions 28 to 507 of the family's 1533-position model. The record is from RNAcentral.
GACGAACGCUGGCGGCGUGCUUAACACAUGCAAGUCGAACGGAAAGGCCCUGCUUUUGUGGGGUGCUCGAGUGGCGAACGGGUGAGUAACACGUGAGUAACCUGCCCUUUACUUUGGGAUAACUUCAGGAAACUGGGGCUAAUACCUGAUAGGAGCUCCUGCUGCAUGGUGGGGGUUGGAAAGUUUCGGCGGUUGGGGAUGGACUCGCGGCUUAUCAGCUUGUUGGUGGGGUAGUGGCUUACCAAGGCUUUGAAGGGUAGCCGGCCUGAGAGGGGGACCGGCGACAUGGGGACUGAGAGACGGACCAGACUCCUACGGGAGGCAGCAGUGGGGAAUAUUGCACAAUGGGCGGAAGCCUGAUGCAGAAACGCCGCGUGCGGGAUGAAGGCCUUCGGGUUGGAAACCGCUUUCGCCUGUGACGAAGCGGGAGUGACGGUAAUGGGUAAAGAAGCACCGGCUAACUACGUG